RNAcentral lists this ribosomal RNA (273 nucleotides) under uncultured bacterium. RNAcentral's name for it is "partial 16S ribosomal RNA". It matches the Rfam family "Bacterial small subunit ribosomal RNA", at positions 524 to 796 of the family's 1533-position model. The record is from RNAcentral.
UACGGAGGGGGUUAGCGUUGUUCGGAAUCACUGGGCGUAAAGCGCGCGUAGGCGGACUGUUUAGUCGAGGGUGAAAGCCCGGGGCUCAACUGCGGAACUGCCCCUGAUACUGGGAGGCUCGGAUCGGCGCGAGGCGGGCGGAACGUGGCAUGUAGCGGUGAAAUGCUUAGAUAUGCCACAGAACACCGAUUGCGUAGGCAGCUUGCCAGAGCCGUAUCGACGCUGAGGCACGAAAGCGUGGGGAGCGAACAGGAUUAGAUACCCCAGUAGUCC